Molecule: ribosomal RNA, 433 nt
Filed under: uncultured bacterium
Lineage: Bacteria
Description: partial 16S ribosomal RNA
Rfam family: Bacterial small subunit ribosomal RNA
Source: RNAcentral
AACGAACGCUGGCGGCAUGCCUAACACAUGCAAGUCGAACGAGACCUUCGGGUCUAGUGGCGCACGGGUGCGUAACGCGUGGGAACCUGCCCUUAGGUUCGGAAUAACUCCCCGAAAGGGGUGCUAAUACCGGAUAAUGUCUUCGGACCAAAGAUUUAUCGCCUUUGGAUGGGCCCGCGUUGGAUUAGCUAGUUGGCAGGGUAAAAGCCUACCAAGGCGACGAUCCAUAGCUGGUCUGAGAGGAUGAUCAGCCACACUGGGACUGAGACACGGCCCAGACUCCUACGGGAGGCAGCAGUGGGGAAUAUUGGACAAUGGGCGAAAGCCUGAUCCAGCAAUGCCACGUGAGUGAUGAAGGCCUUAGGGUUGUAAAGCUCUUUUACCCGGGAUGAUAAUGACAGUACCGGGAGAAUAAGCUCCGGCUAACUCCGUG